This 1675-nucleotide ribosomal RNA is filed under the name Escherichia coli. RNAcentral's name for it is "bacterial LSU rRNA". It matches the Rfam family "Bacterial large subunit ribosomal RNA", at positions 1270 to 2925 of the family's 2925-position model. The record is from RNAcentral. Lineage: Bacteria; Pseudomonadati; Pseudomonadota; Gammaproteobacteria; Enterobacterales; Enterobacteriaceae.
AUGCUGGAGGUAUCAGAAGUGCGAAUGCUGACAUAAGUAACGAUAAAGCGGGUGAAAAGCCCGCUCGCCGGAAGACCAAGGGUUCCUGUCCAACGUUAAUCGGGGCAGGGUGAGUCGACCCCUAAGGCGAGGCCGAAAGGCGUAGUCGAUGGGAAACAGGUUAAUAUUCCUGUACUUGGUGUUACUGCGAAGGGGGGACGGAGAAGGCUAUGUUGGCCGGGCGACGGUUGUCCCGGUUUAAGCGUGUAGGCUGGUUUUCCAGGCAAAUCCGGAAAAUCAAGGCUGAGGCGUGAUGACGAGGCACUACGGUGCUGAAGCAACAAAUGCCCUGCUUCCAGGAAAAGCCUCUAAGCAUCAGGUAACAUCAAAUCGUACCCCAAACCGACACAGGUGGUCAGGUAGAGAAUACCAAGGCGCUUGAGAGAACUCGGGUGAAGGAACUAGGCAAAAUGGUGCCGUAACUUCGGGAGAAGGCACGCUGAUAUGUAGGUGAAGCGACUUGCUCGUGGAGCUGAAAUCAGUCGAAGAUACCAGCUGGCUGCAACUGUUUAUUAAAAACACAGCACUGUGCAAACACGAAAGUGGACGUAUACGGUGUGACGCCUGCCCGGUGCCGGAAGGUUAAUUGAUGGGGUNAGCGCAAGCGAAGCUCUUGAUCGAAGCCCCGGUAAACGGCGGCCGUAACUAUAACGGUCCUAAGGUAGCGAAAUUCCUUGUCGGGUAAGUUCCGACCUGCACGAAUGGCGUAAUGAUGGCCAGGCUGUCUCCACCCGAGACUCAGUGAAAUUGAACUCGCUGUGAAGAUGCAGUGUACCCGCGGCAAGACGGAAAGACCCCGUGAACCUUUACUAUAGCUUGACACUGAACAUUGAGCCUUGAUGUGUAGGAUAGGUGGGAGGCUUAGAAGUGUGGACGCCAGUCUGCAUGGAGCCGACCUUGAAAUACCACCCUUUAAUGUUUGAUGUUCUAACGUUGACCCGUAAUCCGGGUUGCGGACAGUGUCUGGUGGGUAGUUUGACUGGGGCGGUCUCCUCCUAAAGAGUAACGGAGGAGCACGAAGGUUGGCUAAUCCUGGUCGGACAUCAGGAGGUUAGUGCAAUGGCAUAAGCCAGCUUGACUGCGAGCGUGACGGCGCGAGCAGGUGCGAAAGCAGGUCAUAGUGAUCCGGUGGUUCUGAAUGGAAGGGCCAUCGCUCAACGGAUAAAAGGUACUCCGGGGAUAACAGGCUGAUACCGCCCAAGAGUUCAUAUCGACGGCGGUGUUUGGCACCUCGAUGUCGGCUCAUCACAUCCUGGGGCUGAAGUAGGUCCCAAGGGUAUGGCUGUUCGCCAUUUAAAGUGGUACGCGAGCUGGGUUUAGAACGUCGUGAGACAGUUCGGUCCCUAUCUGCCGUGGGCGCUGGAGAACUGAGGGGGGCUGCUCCUAGUACGAGAGGACCGGAGUGGACGCAUCACUGGUGUUCGGGUUGUCAUGCCAAUGGCACUGCCCGGUAGCUAAAUGCGGAAGAGAUAAGUGCUGAAAGCAUCUAAGCACGAAACUUGCCCCGAGAUGAGUUCUCCCUGACCCUUUAAGGGUCCUGAAGGAACGUUGAAGACGACGACGUUGAUAGGCCGGGUGUGUAAGCGCAGCGAUGCGUUGAGCUAACCGGUACUAAUGAACCGUGAGGCUUAACCUU